AUGAAGUCAUAUGACUGACGGAAGUGGAGUAUACCACAUGAAGUAUGACUAAGAUAAUAUGCCGACCGUCUGGGCAAUAAGC
RNAcentral lists this non-coding RNA (82 nucleotides) under Clostridium paraputrificum. RNAcentral's name for it is "ZTP sequence". It matches the Rfam family "ZMP/ZTP riboswitch aptamer (pfl RNA motif)". From Rfam's summary of the family: Previously known as pfl RNA. ZMP is also known as AICAR. Lineage: Bacteria; Bacillati; Bacillota; Clostridia; Eubacteriales; Clostridiaceae. The record is from Rfam by way of RNAcentral.